Molecule: ribosomal RNA, 382 nt
Filed under: Hypotaenidia dieffenbachii (Dieffenbach's rail)
Lineage: Eukaryota; Metazoa; Chordata; Aves; Gruiformes; Rallidae
Description: Gallirallus dieffenbachii (Dieffenbach's rail) partial 12S small subunit ribosomal RNA
Rfam family: Bacterial small subunit ribosomal RNA
Source: RNAcentral
GCUUGGCCCUAAAUCUAGAUGUUUCCUCUACCAAAACAUCCGCCCGAGAACUACGAGCACAAACGCUUAAAACUCUAAGGACUUGGCGGUGCUCCAAACCCACCUAGAGGAGCCUGUUCUGUAAUCGAUAACCCACGAUGCACCCAACCUCUCCUUGCCCAAAGCAGCCUACAUACCGCCGUCCUCAGCUCACCUUCUCUGAGAGCCCGACAGUGAGCACAACAACACCGCUAACAAGACAGGUCAAGGUAUAGCCUAUGGAGAGGAAGAAAUGGGCUACAUUCUCUAAGAUAGAGUACGAAAAGGGGCCUGAAAUAACCCCUAGAAGGAGGNUUUAGCAGUAAAGAGGGGUAAGAAUACCCCCUUAAACUCGGCCCUGGAG